This 549-nucleotide ribosomal RNA is filed under the name uncultured Glomeromycotina. Its description in RNAcentral is "SSU rRNA". It matches the Rfam family "Eukaryotic small subunit ribosomal RNA", at positions 548 to 1098 of the family's 1831-position model. The record is from RNAcentral. Lineage: Eukaryota; Fungi; Glomeromycota.
UUGGAGGGCAAGUCUGGUGCCAGCAGCCGCGGUAAUUCCAGCUCCAAUAGCGUAUAUUAAAGUUGUUGCAGUUAAAAAGCUCGUAGUUGAAUUUCGGGAUCAAUUUAUCGGUCGUGCCUACGGUAUGAACUGGUACAAUUGGUUUCUCCCUUCUGACGAAGCAUGAUGUCAUUAAUUUGGUGUCGUGGGGAAUCAGGACUGUUACUUUGAAAAAAUUAGAGUGUUUAAAGCAAGCAUUAGCUUGAAUACAUUAGCAUGGAAUAAUGAAAUAGGACGUUUGAUCCUAUUUCGUUGGUUUCUAGGAUCGACGUAAUGAUUAAUAGGGAUAGUUGGGGGCAUUAGUAUUCAAUUGUCAGAGGUGAAAUUCUUGGAUUUAUUGAAGACUAACUACUGCGAAAGCAUUUGCCAAGGAUGUUUUCAUUAAUCAAGAACGAAAGUUAGGGGAUCGAAGACGAUCAGAUACCGUCGUAGUCUUAACCAUAAACUAUGCCGACUAGGGAUCGGAUGAUGUUAAUUUUUUAAUGACUCCUUCGGCGCCUUACGGGAAAC